Molecule: ribosomal RNA, 441 nt
Filed under: uncultured bacterium
Lineage: Bacteria
Description: partial 16S ribosomal RNA
Rfam family: Bacterial small subunit ribosomal RNA
Source: RNAcentral
CUACGGGCGGCAGCAGUAGAGAAUCUUCCGCAAUGGGCGAAAGCCUGACGGAGCAAUAUCGCGUGGGUGAUGAAGGCCUAACGGUUGUAAAACCCUUUUCUGGAGGAAUAAUUCUGAAGGUACUCCAGGAAUAAGCACCGGCUAACUCCGUGCCAGCAGCCGCGGUAAUACGGAGGGUGCAAGCGUUACCCGGAAUCAUUGGGCGGAAAGCGGUCCGCAGGCCGUUUGUUAAGCUGGAUAUUAAAUCUUAAAGCCCAACUUUAAGGCUGUAUCCAGAACUGACAAACUAGAGGCAUUCAGAGGUACAUGGAAUUCUGUGUGUAGGGGUAAAAUCCGUAGAUACACAGAGGAACACCAAAAGCGAAGGCAAUGUACUGGGAAUGUCCUGACGCUCAUGGACGAAAGCGUAGGUAGCGAACGGGAUUAGAUACCCUAGUAGUC